RNA transcript from Prosopis cineraria, 1802 nucleotides. It is a transcript of the gene named MADS-box protein JOINTLESS-like, with no coding region annotated. Lineage: Eukaryota; Viridiplantae; Streptophyta; Magnoliopsida; Fabales; Fabaceae. The transcript is spliced from 7 exons. The record is from RefSeq and is a predicted model, not a curated record.
UAGUGGCUGCAGAGGAAACAUCAACUUGGCCAAAAAGGGCAAAAAAGCAUAUAUGUUAAUUUCCUUAGAAAAGCCAUUAACGUACGAACCGCGAAAGCUGAAGAACAAGAGAGGAGGAGAAGUCUGCGAAAUUCAUAACACAAGUCUCUUCAAUAUCUACCAGGUUGGAUUCCUUAUUUUCCGGAGCUUCGGUUUCACUUUCUUUCUUCUGAAAAUCCUUUAUCUGGAGUUUUUAUUUAUUUUUUGUUCUUCUCAGUAACUUUUGGUUUGAGGUUCAUUUUGAAACACUCGAUUUUUUUUCUUUUCUUUUCUCGCUUUCCGUUUUUCAUCUACUGAUAGCUGAGUUUCUCUUUCCUAAUUUGGUCGCAAAGAUAUUGUUGAGUUGGAAAUUCUUCCUUAGCUCGAUUUAUUGGACUCUUUUCAAUUAUUUCUUGUUAUUCUUCCAAGAUCACUAAUCUUUCUGUAGUUUAUAUGUUUAUCAACAAAAGCAACAUUUUCUCACUUCUUUCCCGAUUCUCAUCUCUGAUCGGUCGGUUCUUGGUGGGAUACUUGGAUUUUGUGAAGAAUAGUACUCGUAGUAAUAAUAAUACAUUGUAGAUCUUUCUCUAUGUGAUGUGAAACCACUGGAUUUACUGCAUUUAUAAUACCCUCUCUAUUAAUCAGUUCAGGUACAGUGUUACGCCCACUUUGAUUCUGCUAAUAUAUAUGCAGGUAUAUGUAUAUGUAUAUGGAAUUUUUUGACUGUAUAAUUUACAGUAUAUAAUAACCUUGUGUUACGGAUGAAGAAGAGGGGAUAUGACGAGAAGAAAGAUACAGAUAAAGAAAAUAGACAGUGUAACAGCAAGACAAGUGGCUUUCUCAAAGAGAAGGAAAGGUCUCUUCAAGAAGGCAAAUGAACUCUCAAGUCUCUGUGAUGCUGAGAUUGCUCUCUUGGUCUUCUCUUCCACUGGCAAGCUCUUUGAUUAUGCUAACUCAAGUAUUCAGCAGGUAAUUGAAAGGUAUGAUCAACAUUCAGCCAUUCAAAUACAAGGUGAUGAGAACGAGCUGCACAAGGCAGUAGUAGCAGAAAAGACUCGUGAAUUGAGGCAGCUGAAUGAGGAAGAGCUUCAAGGAUGCACACUUGAAGAAUUCCAGACACUAGAGGAAAGACUUGAAAGGGACUUGUCCCGUGUUUCAAAAACAAAGGAUGAAAGAAUCUUAAAACAAAUCAAUGCACCUAAGAGAAAGGGAAUCCAACUGAAGGAAGAAAACCAAAGAACGAAGCAGGUGAUCGCAGAUUUUCAAACUCUUAUCCUCUAAGUUAUUGCCUCUUUUUUCAGAUGUUAUGAAAUGAAAGUCGUGUAACACAAAGAUACACUAGAGCUUUAUAUGUACAGAGCCUUGUGCAUGAACAAGGGCAGUCUUCUGAGUCCAUCAUCAUUUGCAGUUCAUCUGACAUUAAUCCUCCUCAAGACUGUGAUAGUUCUGAUACAUCUCUCAGGCUUGGGUUGUCUUCAUUCAAAUAAAAGCAUAAAUGUUGUUUUCCUUAGAGAAUUACACUUAUGAACAGCGAAACACGAUCUCUAGCUUCCAUUUAAUGAUCACUUAAAAACCAUUUUCUUUGUAUGUACGUACGUAUACGUACGUACGUAUCAUUUAUGUGUGCGUAGGGCUAUCAGGUCAAGCUGAGAGAACUGUACUACAACUCUCUCUCUCUCUCUCUCUCUCUCUCUCUCUCUCUACGUACACGCACACACACACGCACACACAUAUAUAAUUUUUUUUGGCUAAUUCGCUAAACACUGCAAUAGGAUAAGUAAUAG